This 228-nucleotide long non-coding RNA is filed under the name Capsicum annuum. RNAcentral's name for it is "long non-coding RNA (CANN_LNC008056)". Lineage: Eukaryota; Viridiplantae; Streptophyta; Magnoliopsida; Solanales; Solanaceae. The record is from RNAcentral.
GAAGAGGUAUAGAUAUUGGUAUUGGAUAUUCAUUUUAUAUGGAUUUCUAAAUCACCAUGGGUCCUACGUUGGAAUUCUUUAGCUCCAUAGGUGUAUAUAGAGAUUGUGCUACAACCUCACGCAUCACAUCAUCAUCAUCAUUAUUUUCUUUACACUUCAUAUAUUGUGUUUAUGAUAUGAUUGUAUUUUCAUCUUUAGCUUGAUAUCUAUCCAUUUGGUGUACCUUUC